RNAcentral lists this ribosomal RNA (1274 nucleotides) under Microbacterium sp. RNAcentral's name for it is "bacterial SSU rRNA". It matches the Rfam family "Bacterial small subunit ribosomal RNA", at positions 22 to 1346 of the family's 1533-position model. The record is from RNAcentral. Lineage: Bacteria; Bacillati; Actinomycetota; Actinomycetes; Micrococcales; Microbacteriaceae.
UNNUUGUUUAAAAGAACGGGGGGUUUUAUGCNGUCGUGCGAGGANACCCCCUUGGGGGGGUUCNGGGCAAGGGUGAGAACCGGAGCACCUGCCCUGAUUUGGGNUAAGCCUGGAAAGGGUUUNAUNCGGNUUGAGCUUUCCUCGCNUGGGGGGUUGGAAAAUUUUUUGUUUGGGAUGGCUCGGGGCCUUUCAGCUUUUGGGNGGUAAGGCUCCCCAAGGGUCGACGGGUAGCCGCCUGAGAGGUGACCGGCCCCACUGGGACUGNGACNCGGCCCAGAUUCCUACGGGAGGCAGCAGUGGGAAUAUUGCACAAUGGGCGGAAGCCUGAUGCAGCAACGCCGCGUGAGGGAUGACGGCCUUCGGGUUGUAAACCUCUUUUAGCAAGGAAGAAGCUUUUGUGACGGUACUUGCAGAAAAAGCGCCGGCUAACUACGUGCCAGCAGCCGCGGUAAUACGUAGGGCGCAAGCGUUAUCCGGAAUUAUUGGGCGUAAAGAGCUCGUAGGCGGUUUGUCGCGUCUGCUGUGAAAUCCCGAGGCUCAACCUCGGGCCUGCAGUGGGUACGGGCAGACUAGAGUGCGGUAGGGGAGAUUGGAAUUCCUGGUGUAGCGGUGGAAUGCGCAGAUAUCAGGAGGAACACCGAUGGCGAAGGCAGAUCUCUGGGCCGUAACUGACGCUGAGGAGCGAAAGGGUGGGGAGCAAACAGGCUUAGAUACCCUGGUAGUCCACCCCGUAAACGUUGGGAACUAGUUGUGGGGUCCUUUCCACGGAUUCCGUGACGCAGCUAACGCAUUAAGUUCCCCGCCUGGGGAGUACGGCCGCAAGGCUAAAACUCAAAGGAAUUGACGGGGACCCGCACAAGCGGCGGAGCAUGCGGAUUAAUUCGAUGCAACGCGAAGAACCUUACCAAGGCUUGACAUACACGAGAACACCCCAGAAAUGGGGGACUCUUUGGACCUCUUGAACAGGUGGUGCAUGGUUGUCGUCAGCUCGGUCGUGAGAUGUUGGGUUAAGUCCCGCAACGAGCGCAACCCUCGUUCUAUGUUGCCAGCACGUUAUGGUGGGAACUCAUGGGAUACUGCCGGGGUCAACUCGGAGGAAGGUGGGGAUGACGUCAAAUCAUCAUGCCCCUUAUGUCUUGGGCUUCACGCAUGCUACAAUGGCCGGUACAAAGGGCUGCAAUACCGUGAGGUGGAGCGAAUCCCAAAAAGCCGGUCCCAGUUCGGAUUGAGGUCUGCAACUCGACCUCAUGAAGUCGGAGUCGCUAGUAAUCGCA